This 254-nucleotide ribosomal RNA is filed under the name uncultured bacterium. RNAcentral describes it as "partial 16S ribosomal RNA". It matches the Rfam family "Bacterial small subunit ribosomal RNA", at positions 524 to 776 of the family's 1533-position model. The record is from RNAcentral.
UACGAAGGGGGCUAGCGUUGUUCGGAAUUACUGGGCGUAAAGCGCACGUAGGCGGCUUGUUAAGUCAGGGGUGAAAUCCUGGAGCUCAACUCCAGAACUGCCUUUGAUACUGGCAAGCUUGGAGUCCGGGAGAGGUGAGUGGAACUGCGAGUGUAGAGGUGAAAUUCGUAGAUAUUCGCAAGAACACCAGUGGCGAAGGCGGCUCACUGGCCCGGUACUGACGCUGAGGUGCGAAAGCGUGGGGAGCAAACAGG